This 293-nucleotide ribosomal RNA is filed under the name uncultured microorganism. Its description in RNAcentral is "partial 16S ribosomal RNA". It matches the Rfam family "Bacterial small subunit ribosomal RNA", at positions 505 to 796 of the family's 1533-position model. The record is from RNAcentral.
GUGCCCGCAGCCGCGGUAAUACGUAGGGUGCGAGCGUUGUCCGGAAUUAUUGGGCGUAAAGAGCUCGUAGGCGGUGUGUCGCGUCGGCCGUGAAAACCUGGGGCUCAACUCUGGGCGUGCGGUCGAUACGGGCAUCACUUGAGUUCGGCAGGGGAGACUGGAAUUCCUGGUGUAGCGGUGAAAUGCGCAGAUAUCAGGAGGAACACCGGUGGCGAAGGCGGGUCUCUGGGCCGAUACUGACGCUGAGGAGCGAAAGCAUGGGUAGCGAACAGGAUUAGAUACCCUGGUAGUCC